UCAGACGAUGCGUCAUGCAUAUCAAUAAGCGGAGGAAAAGAAACUAACAAGGAUUCCCCUAGUAACGGCGAGUGAAGCGGGAAGAGCUCAAAUUUGAAAUCUUAAAGGGUUUCCCUUUACGAAUUGUAGUUUAAAGAAGUGUUUUCUGUUGAGGUUUUGGUAAAAGUUCUUUGGAAUAGGACAUCAUAGAGGGUGAGAAUCCCGUAUUUGACCUUUACUUUCAACUUUGUGAUACACUUUCAAAGAGUCGGAUUGUUUGGGAAUGCAGUCCAAAAUGGGUGGUAAAUUUCAUCUAAAGCUAAAUAUUGGCGUGAGACCGAUAGCGAACAAGUACCGUGAGGGAAAGAUGAAAAGAACUUUGAAAAGAGAGUUAAACAGUACGUGAAAUUGUCAAAAGGGAAGCGUUUGACACCAGUGUUGUUUUUCUGAAAAUCAAUUAAAGAACUGUUUAUGCUAAGUUGUUUAGACUUUAUCAGCUAACUGUUUAGUUUUGAGCUUUUCUUUAAUGCACUUUUCAGUUAACAAGUCAACAUCAAUUUCUUUUGCUGUAAAAAAGCUUGAGGAAGGUGGCUUGAGAUUCGUCUUAAGUGUUUAUAGCCUCUUGCCUAUGCAGUCGGAGAGAUUGAGGUCUGCAGCGUAGAUCCUUCGGGGCUAAAUGCAUUUGUGCUAAGUUAUAGCAUUUUAUAGACAACCUUGUUGACUAUGAUUUGUCUUGUAGCUUACUCGCUUAUGUUAUUUUACCUACGCUUAGGAUGUUGAGCGCAUGUCUCUCUCU
RNAcentral lists this ribosomal RNA (775 nucleotides) under uncultured Neocallimastigales. RNAcentral's name for it is "partial large subunit ribosomal RNA". It matches the Rfam family "Eukaryotic large subunit ribosomal RNA", at positions 18 to 616 of the family's 3401-position model. Lineage: Eukaryota; Fungi; Neocallimastigomycota; Neocallimastigomycetes; Neocallimastigales. The record is from RNAcentral.